Molecule: ribosomal RNA, 440 nt
Filed under: uncultured Desulfocapsa sp.
Lineage: Bacteria; Pseudomonadati; Thermodesulfobacteriota; Desulfobulbia; Desulfobulbales; Desulfocapsaceae
Description: bacterial SSU rRNA
Rfam family: Bacterial small subunit ribosomal RNA
Source: RNAcentral
AUCAUGUGUUUAAUUCGAUGAUACGCGAAGAACCUUACCAGGCUUGACAUCCCUUGCAAAGCUAUGGAGACAUAGUGGAGGUUAGUCAAGGAGACAGGUGGUGCAUGGUUGUCGUCAGCUCGUGUCGUGAGAUGUUGGGUUAAGUCCCGCAACGAGCGCAACCCUUGUCUUUAGUUGCCAUCAUUUAGUUGGGCACUCUAAAGAGACUGCCGGUGUCAAACCGGAGGAAGGUGGGGAUGACGUCAAGUCCUCAUGGCCUUUAUGACCAGGGCUACACACGUACUACAAUGGCCGGUACAAAGGGCAGCGACACAGCGAUGUGAUGCGAAUCCCGAAAAGCCUGUCUCAGUCCGGAUCGGAGUCUGCAACUCGACUCCGUGAAGUUGGAAUCGCUAGUAAUCGUGGAUCAGCAUGCCACGGUGAAUACGUUCCCGGGCCUU